CCCAGGAGCUGCAACUCGCCAUUAGACACCAACACCGCUUCUGGAGAGAUGCCUCAAGAAAAUUGCACUGUUUAGUCUCUUCAAGAAUCAGAAACAAUCUAGGGUUCCAACAAUCUCACCCUUCCAUCUUCUGGCAAACAGGUUAUUAGCAUCUUCCCUCUCAAAAAGUGGUAAUACUCGAACUCUUUCUUAUUAAAGUUAUUUCCAUUUGCUGAGUAAAUUUACAAAGCUACUGCCAGCACAAGUUGCAUAUGCUUUUUUGAAAUGUUAUACGCUACUGUCCGUUUGAUAUGCAUGUUACAAACAAACUUGGAACCACAAAUUGUAUUACUAUUCUUUUAUUUCUUCUUUGUCCCUAUAACCGUCCAGAUUCAGCGCACAUGGCGACUGAAAAAGAAUUAUCAAAACAAUAUGUACCUAUAAGCAAAGUAUCCAUUGCAAUGGGUCAUGAAAGUAUUGGUCACUAGAAGGGGUUCAAUAAUACCUUACAAGAAUCCGCAUCAUGAAGGCAUUUUCAGAACUGUCAUAUUAGUCGAUGAGGAGGGGACAAAGAUCCAGGAACCCUAUUUAAAAAACAUGUUGAAACAUGGAAAGAGUUCCUGAAACCAAAUAAGAGCUACUACAUUAUCAUGGUCGUUUGGAUCGGGUCAGCCCCAACUACUCCUCCGUGCACAAAGAAGUUGAAUUGGCUUUCACCGAUAACACAAUUGUAAAGGAGUCCGUACAUGACGUUCCCACAACAAAUUCUCAUAUGUCCCUUAAUUCACGAACUUACAGGAUACUUAGGAUCUUUCGCUCAUGAGUUUAAAUUGUUCACUGAGACAUUUUUGUAUAAGACAAGUACAAUCAUCUAUUUCCAGUUUGAUGUGUGAGAACUUGCUUUUUAAAUUAACUUAUUUGGGAGAUUCCGUUUAUGUCAUAGGAUGAGCCUUUAACUGCUGGAUCGAUUGAAAAAUAAAUGUUGUUCAUAUUUAUGGGUUCUGCUUAAAUUCAUGAAUGCAAUUAAAUUAUGUGUCUGGUGAAUACCACUGCUUUGUCCCUUAUGAUGUUUCUAAUAAAAAUCUAUGUGUCAAAUGGGUAGCAUGGUUAAUGCGAAUCAAUUGAACCCCCUUUUUCGUG
Long non-coding RNA from Lycium ferocissimum, 1119 nucleotides. RefSeq lists it as uncharacterized. The record is from RefSeq and is a predicted model, not a curated record. The transcript has 4 exons. NCBI's taxonomy places the organism in Eukaryota, Viridiplantae, Streptophyta, Magnoliopsida, Solanales, Solanaceae.